Molecule: non-coding RNA, 21 nt
Filed under: Caenorhabditis elegans
Lineage: Eukaryota; Metazoa; Nematoda; Chromadorea; Rhabditida; Rhabditidae
Source: RNAcentral
UGUCACUAAUAUUUCGGAUUC